UACGGGGGGGGCAAGCGUUGUUCGGAAUUACUGGGCGUAAAGGGCGCGUAGGCGGCCUUCUAAGUCGGACGUGAAAUCCCUCGGCUUAACCGAGGAACUGCGUCCGAUACUGAAAGGCUUGAAUCCGGGAGAGGGAUGUGGAAUUCCAGGUGUAGCGGUGAAAUGCGUAGAUAUCGGGAGGAACACCGGUGGCGAAGGCGGUUCUCUGGGCCUUACCUGACGCUGAGGAGCGAAAGCGUGGGGAGCGAACAGG
RNAcentral lists this ribosomal RNA (253 nucleotides) under uncultured bacterium. Its description in RNAcentral is "partial 16S ribosomal RNA". It matches the Rfam family "Bacterial small subunit ribosomal RNA", at positions 524 to 776 of the family's 1533-position model. The record is from RNAcentral.